CCUACGGGAGGCAGCAGUGGGGAAUAUUGCACAAUGGGGGAAACCCUGAUGCAGCGACGCCGCGUGAGUGAAGAAGUAUUUCGGUACGUAAAGCUCUAUCAGCAGGGAAGAAAAUGACGGUACCUGACUAAGAAGCCCCGGCUAACUACGUGCCAGCAGCCGCGGUAAUACGUAGGGGGCAAGCGUUAUCCGGAUUCACUGGGCGUAAAGGGAGUGUAGGCGGCUUAUCAAGUUAGAUGUGAAAUCCCGCGGCUUAACCGCGGAACUGCAUCUAAAACUGGUGAGCUGGAGUGCAGGAGAGGUGAGUGGAAUUCCUAGUGUAGCGGUGGAAUGCGUAGAUAUUAGGAGGAACACCAGAGGCGAAGGCGACUCACUGGACUGUAACUGACGCUGAGGCUCGAAAGCGUGGGGAGCAAACAGGAUUAGAUACCCCAGUAGUC
RNAcentral lists this ribosomal RNA (440 nucleotides) under uncultured bacterium. RNAcentral describes it as "partial 16S ribosomal RNA". It matches the Rfam family "Bacterial small subunit ribosomal RNA", at positions 338 to 795 of the family's 1533-position model. The record is from RNAcentral.